GAUGAACGCUGGCGGCGUGCCUAAUACAUGCGAGUCGAGCGAACGGACGAGAAGCUUGCUUCUCUGAUGUUAGCGGCGGACGGGUGAGUAACACGUGGAUAACCUACCUAUAAGACUGGGAUAACUUCGGGAAACCGGAGCUAAUACCGGAUAAUAUUUUGAACCGCAUGGUUCAAAAGUGAAAGACGGUCUUGCUGUCACUUAUAGAUGGAUCCGCGCUGCAUUAGCUAGUUGGUAAGGUAACGGCUUACCAAGGCAACGAUGCAUAGCCGACCUGAGAGGGUGAUCGGCCACACUGGAACUGAGACACGGUCCAGACUCCUACGGGAGGCAGCAGUAGGGAAUCUUCCGCAAUGGGCGGAAGCCUGACGGAGCAACGCCGCGUGAGUGAUGAAGGUCUUCGGAUCGUAAAACUCUGUUAUUAGGGAAGAACAUAUGUGUAAGUAACUGUGCACAUCUUGACGGUACCUAAUCAGAAAGCCACGGCUAACUACGUG
RNAcentral lists this ribosomal RNA (497 nucleotides) under uncultured bacterium. Its description in RNAcentral is "partial 16S ribosomal RNA". It matches the Rfam family "Bacterial small subunit ribosomal RNA", at positions 28 to 507 of the family's 1533-position model. The record is from RNAcentral.